Molecule: non-coding RNA, 157 nt
Organism: Vicugna pacos (alpaca)
Lineage: Eukaryota; Metazoa; Chordata; Mammalia; Artiodactyla; Camelidae
Source: RefSeq, a predicted model, not a curated record
UUUGCUUAUGGUUUCCUUUGUCGUGCAAAAGCUUGUAAGUUUAAUUAGGCCCCAUUUGUCUAUUUAUGCUUUUAUUUCUAUUGCUUGGGUAGAAUGCCCCAGGAGAACGUUGCUGAGAUGUAUAUGAGAUAAUGUUUUGCCUAUAUCAGAUUUUGAU